Molecule: transfer RNA, 75 nt
Filed under: candidate division WWE3 bacterium
Lineage: Bacteria; candidate division WWE3
Description: tRNA-Lys
Rfam family: tRNA
About the family: Transfer RNA (tRNA) molecules are approximately 80 nucleotides in length. Their secondary structure includes four short double-helical elements and three loops (D, anti-codon, and T loops).
Source: RNAcentral
GGGGACGUAGCUCAGUGGUAGAGCAUCCGGCUCUUAACCGGGUUGUCGAGGGUUCGAAUCCCUCCGUCCUCACCA